Molecule: long non-coding RNA, 453 nt
Organism: Camelina sativa (false flax)
Lineage: Eukaryota; Viridiplantae; Streptophyta; Magnoliopsida; Brassicales; Brassicaceae
Source: RefSeq, a predicted model, not a curated record
AGUGAUUAACUCUGUCCUUCCUUACGUAGUAGCCUCACUUGGGACAGAAGCGAACACAAUGCUUAGAGUCUGCUUCCGAUUAAAACUCUCUCAAGUUGUCUUCUUUCUCGAGUGGUGAUGAUGGCGAAGUUUUUGAAAGAGAUCAGAGACAAACAGAUGAGAUAGAUGAUGAGGUUGUCCAUCCAUCUCAAUGUAUAUAUCUUCAUGCUUAACUUCCAGAAAUCGCCAAAACCAAACGAGUUUUGCCGAAUGAAUAAACGAUGGCAAUCAUACAUUACGCAAGGUGAAAGACGCAUAGCUGACGAGGCACUAUCAAGAAUCUCCCAGUUAAUUGUUGCUUAUACUGGUAAGCUAUUUUUGGUAAAGUACAACAAGUUUAGCCCCUUAUUGAUAGAUGUAAGUCGCACAGUUUUUAGUCUUUUGGACCCAAUAUAGUUUCCAGAGUUGUUGAUA